This 317-nucleotide long non-coding RNA is filed under the name Canis lupus familiaris (dog). RNAcentral describes it as "lncRNA (ENSCAFG00000050508.1)". Lineage: Eukaryota; Metazoa; Chordata; Mammalia; Carnivora; Canidae. The record is from RNAcentral.
GGCGGCGGCAACGCCUAGUUUAGCAGAUGACUGGGCGUUGUGCGUGGACUUUCUAGGAAGGAGGAGAGGGAAUGCGGGGCAUGUGGCCAGGCUAGGCCAGGUGGUGUGUGUGCAGAUAAGCUUGGAGCUAGCGGGACGGGGACGGCUGGAAGGCUGGAAGAAUAGUUCUGGCUGUGAUGUGCAUGCUGGGAUGAGCCACAGAAGUGAGGGGUCACUCAGAGGCAGCGCACGUGUCCCGUCCGGCUGGAGGUAAGCUAUGCAGUCACUAGGGCAGGCAACCUUCUCCCCUGGUGCCAGAGGUGCUCUUCCAAGGCCAA